GUGGGGAAUAUUGGACAAUGGGCGAAAGCCUGAUCCAGCCAUGCCGCGUGUGUGAAGAAGGUCUUCGGAUUGUAAAGCACUUUAAGUUGGGAGGAAGGGUAGUAACCUAAUACGUUGCUACUUGACGUUACCGACAGAAUAAGCACCGGCUAACUUCGUGCCAGCAGCCGCGGUAAUACGAAGGGUGCAAGCGUUAAUCGGAAUUACUGGGCGUAAAGCGCGCGUAGGUGGUUCAGUAAGUUGGAAGUGAAAUCCCCGGGCUCAACCUGGGAACUGCUUUCAAAACUGCUGAGCUAGAGUACGGUAGAGGGUGGUGGAAUUUCCUGUGUAGCGGUGAAAUGCGUAGAUAUAGGAAGGAACACCAGUGGCGAAGGCGACCACCUGGACUGAUACUGACACUGAGGUGCGAAAGCGUGGGGAGCAAACAGGAUUAGAAACCCUUGUAGUCC
Molecule: ribosomal RNA, 449 nt
Filed under: uncultured bacterium
Lineage: Bacteria
Description: partial 16S ribosomal RNA
Rfam family: Bacterial small subunit ribosomal RNA
Source: RNAcentral